RNAcentral lists this ribosomal RNA (253 nucleotides) under uncultured bacterium. RNAcentral's name for it is "partial 16S ribosomal RNA". It matches the Rfam family "Bacterial small subunit ribosomal RNA", at positions 524 to 776 of the family's 1533-position model. The record is from RNAcentral.
UACGGGGGGGGCAAGCGUUGUUCGGAAUUACUGGGCGUAAAGGGCGCGUAGGCGGUUCGAUAAGUCAGCUGUGAAAGCCAUGGGCUUAACUCAUGGCCUGCAGUUGAGACUGUCGGGCUGGAGUGUGGGAGAGGAGAGUGGAAUUCCUGGUGUAGCGGUGAAAUGCGUAGAUAUCAGGAGGAACACCAAUGGCGAAGGCAGCUCGCUGGAACGGUACUGACGCUGAGGCGCGAAAGCGUGGGGAGCAAACAGG